RNAcentral lists this ribosomal RNA (309 nucleotides) under uncultured soil bacterium. RNAcentral's name for it is "bacterial SSU rRNA". It matches the Rfam family "Bacterial small subunit ribosomal RNA", at positions 26 to 341 of the family's 1533-position model. The record is from RNAcentral.
AGAUUGAACGCUGGCGGCAUGCUUUACACAUGCAAGUCGAACGGUAACAGGCCGCAAGGUGCUGACGAGUGGCGAACGGGUGAGUAAUGUAUCGGAACGUGCCCAGUCGUGGGGGAUAACGCAGCGAAAGCUGCGCUAAUACCGCAUACGAUCUAUGGAUGAAAGCGGGGGACCGUAAGGCCUCGCGCGAUUGGAGCGGCCGAUAUCAGAUUAGGUAGUUGGUGGGGUAAAGGCUCACCAAGCCAACGAUCUGUAGCUGGUCUGAGAGACGACCAGCCACACUGGACUGAGACACGGCCCAGACUCCUA